Molecule: long non-coding RNA, 2682 nt
Organism: Paramormyrops kingsleyae
Lineage: Eukaryota; Metazoa; Chordata; Actinopteri; Osteoglossiformes; Mormyridae
Source: RefSeq, a predicted model, not a curated record
AUUACAAGGAAACGUCUGAUGAGCUGAAUGUCUGUCUUUCAUGUAUUCAUUCGCUUAACGUCAGCCGUACAUAAUGUAAGCAAUCGGAUAGUCGACAAAAGAAUGCUCAUUACAGCCAUUAGACUUGACUUGGACUUUAGAUAGGUAGCCCAUCUAAUUAACAAGACCCUCAUGAGUAAAAGAGUGUGUAGAGACCUCAAGUGUGCAGUGCAGGGGUACUACAAGACCAAGAUUAGAAACAUUUUAGUGUAUUUUUUAAAUAAAACUUUACAUUUACUUACAUUUUUAAACCCUUUAGUUAGAGUUGCACUUAUAUAAGUUGAGGGUUUUGGUGUGAUUAGAUGCUCACGUGCUGGUAAUUGUACUCAACCCAAAUUUCUUAUAACUGCUACAAUGGUAGCUAUGAUGUAGUUGUGUUCAUUUGGCAUGUGGAGACAGGGAUACAAUUACAGUUAGAGGGCUAUAGUUAGGGUGAUUGUAGGGACUCAGAACCACAAAUUUAUUUAGUAUUGUUACUUAUCAGUGUGUACUUGCAGUCCUCUGUAGCUGUACUUGCUCUCAAAAAACUGGUAUUGGUGCAUCUCCACCUUUAGGGCAGUAAUGUCUAAUUUUCUUUUACCUUAUCGUGUUUAUUCUGCAGAGUUCUUCCAGAUUACGACUGCAGUCAAGUUUCUUUGCAGGUCUUGACAAAGCAACAGACAAAUUAAUGACAAUUUUUGGGAGCAAGGGAGGAGUUUGUGGAAGAAAAAUAAAAAGGGUAUUGGAGGGCUUCUCAGGUUAGUAGCAAUUACACCUUGUUGAUUCUUCAACUGAAAUUAUUUUUAUAGGAUCAUAGAAAGUGGUUUACACAAAUUCCUAGUUGUAUUAUGUUUUUCUUUUUGGUUGACUCAAGAGAGUAAUAGUUCACAUAUACAGUAUAUAAAAAGCAAUAUUGUCUUGAUUUAUAGAACAACUCAAUAGAUGUUCAAAGGGAAUGUAUCCUCAAAGCCUUGUGCGUGUACUUCAGCGAAGACCACCAAGAGCUUGUAAAAGAAUACGUCUUCAAUCCACAGUUCAGAAAUGGCAAGAACCACAAGUUGAACUCUCCUGAAAGUUGCGGCUUGCAUUUACAUGGCAGCUGGAGAAAAUUUUCAGGCAUCCGACUGGACAGUUACGGAUGUCACAAAUGUCCCGCAACAAGCAAAUGGUUAUGACUGUGAUAUUUCUGCCAUUGUGUAUGCCUGCUCAAUCAGCAACUCACCAAUAGGGUCAGCUGACAACCAUGAAGCCAGGUUUUGGAUUCACUCCCUAGUUGAAGACGGCAAGCCAGUAAAAACCAGACGAUCAGGCCUCUCACAAAAAAAAAACUGUUAUGCCACAGGAGAAAGGUGCAGUCAUAUGUUGCAGAGAUGAAGGUUGUGUCUAUGAGAAAAAGAAAGUACAACUCCACCUUGCAAGGGUGAAAGCUAAAUCACAAACACACUAAGAACUGGACCCUGUGCUAUUCACCAAAAUGUAAGGGUCACGGUGAGGGAAGCAAAGAGGUGAAGGCAGGCGUGGGCGGAAACCAAGGGGCGUUAUUUAAAGUAAAACACAACAAGUAAGGCUAAAGGAAAUGGAACGCAAAGGGUCAAAACUAGGCAGGGAGAACGGUGGAAAAACACAGGGUGCAGUCAGCAGUAUAAUAUUACAAUGUAACAACACAAUGACCAGACUGGGGAGCUUAGGACAAGAAAGCAUUAUAUACACCACAGAUGAGGGAGCAGACGAGAGGCACCUGGGAUCAUCCACAUGAGGGCUGAAACAAGGGACAGGGUUAAACAAGGAACAGGUGUGGCUCGUUAGUGCCACACCACAGGGAACACAGGGGCAAAAGGCAUGCGGGGCGUGACAGUAAGGGAGAUCCAGAGUACAAGGAUCAGAACAUUUUGUGUCAUUUGUAGGCGGUGGUUUCACACUAAGUGCCAAAAGUCACCUGAUCUUUUAGUCGUUGCAUGUACCAACUACCCCAAAUGUCUAAUGUGUUCAAGCUGAAUCAGUACAUGUGGCAUUUUGAUUGGGAAAGAAUACUUUGCAACACAACCAGACUCAGAGGGGGAGCCCAUCCUCCUGAAGAUAGCAGGGGACGUCAAAGUUCCAAUUCACAUUUUCCCAGUCUUAACAUUUGAGACACAAAGUGGGGAGCAGGGAGGUGAUGACAGGCAAGUGGUGAAGCUGCUUCAGAUGGUGGGGUGAACAGUAGUACGGCAGCAGGGCAUACAGGGAAGUCAUCACAGGCAGAAGGGCAUACAGGGAAGUCAUCACAGGCAAAAGGGCGUUGCAUGUAGUUGCAGGCAGUGGGGUAGGCAGGAUAUCUUGAAAAUUUGGGGACUCCAGGUCUAUGUUCGAUUAUGCAUUUCAACAAAUGCACGGUCAGCAAGGCGCUCUCGAAUUACACACGAAUUACACACUUCUAAAAAGAAGAGUGGAAAUUAUUUAUUCAGUAAACUUUGGCGGCUGGAGUGACGUGUUUUUUUAGUGCCAAAUUUAAUUGCCAAUUGUUAGCUGGUGCUGUAUGCUGCUUAACUUGCUUUUUGGCAUGUAGAUUUGUUUGCAAAAAAGCACAGCAACAGGCGAAUAAAACUGUAUUGAGUGUGUAGCCUGUAUUUGAUUACUGUAUUUCAGUUUGUUUGCCAGGGGGCUAUAAUAAAAUAUACAAAUGUA